ACUUGCGACUUACUUGGACAAAUUACAAAACGCGAGUUUCAUCCAUUUUUAACACAUUUGGAGCUAUGGAGCUCGGAUUGAAGCGAUUUUUGAGGCGAUUUUCACCAUAUGGAUUGGGAUACGAACCAUUCAGAGUUGGAUAAUCGAGGAAAAUGUCAAUUAUUGGAUUGAGAUGGCGUGAUUUGAGAGCCAGGUAUUGGAGAUAUAGGACUCGGAAAGAGUUAGAGAGUGAUCGCAAGGAUUCAAGGUAGAGCUGUUUGGUCGUCGUAGUCCCUUGGAGUCUUUCUCUUUUAUCGUACUAUCAUAUAUUAUUCGAGCAAUAUUGUAUAUUUAAUUUCCUUCCGAUCAUUUCAUGUAUUCAGUUAGAGUUCGUGACUCAGUACUACCAGUCUUGGGAGGUUGUAUCUUUAUUUUU
Nicotiana tabacum (common tobacco) is the source of this 415-nucleotide long non-coding RNA. RefSeq lists it as uncharacterized. NCBI's taxonomy places the organism in Eukaryota, Viridiplantae, Streptophyta, Magnoliopsida, Solanales, Solanaceae. The record is from RefSeq and is a predicted model, not a curated record.